This is a non-coding RNA of Phrynosoma platyrhinos (Desert horned lizard), 73 nucleotides long. NCBI's taxonomy places the organism in Eukaryota, Metazoa, Chordata, Lepidosauria, Squamata, Phrynosomatidae. The record is from the annotation of a GenBank genome assembly.
CGUCAUAUGGUAUAGUGGUCUGAAUAUUGGACUAGAACUCCAGGAGACCAGGGUUAGAAUCCCUGCUCAACCA